UAGGGAAUCUUCCGCAAUGGACGAAAGUCUGACGGAGCAACGCCGCGUGAGUGAAGAAGGAUUUCGGUUCGUAAAACUCUGUUGUUAGGGAAGAAAAAAUGUAUAGUAACUAUAUACAAAAGAGACGGUACCUAACCAGAAAGCCACGGCUAACUACGUGCCAGCAGCCGCGGUAAUACGUAGGUGGCAAGCGUUGUCCGGAAUUAUUGGGCGUAAAGCGCGCGCAGGUGGUUUAGAAAGUCGGAUGUGAAAGCCCACGGCUCAACCGUGGAGGGUCAUUGGAAACUAAUAAACUUGAGUGCAGGAGAGAAAAGUGGAAUUCCUAGUGUAGCGGUGAAAUGCGUAGAGAUUAGGAGGAACACCGGUGGCGGAAGCAGCUUUUUGGCCUGCAACUGACACUGAGGCGCGAAAGCGUGGGGAGCAAACAGG
Molecule: ribosomal RNA, 429 nt
Filed under: Verrucomicrobiota bacterium
Lineage: Bacteria; Pseudomonadati; Verrucomicrobiota
Description: Verrucomicrobia bacterium partial 16S ribosomal RNA
Rfam family: Bacterial small subunit ribosomal RNA
Source: RNAcentral